GACGAACGCUGGCGGCGUGCCUAAUACAUGCAAGUCGAACGCUCGGGGAGGAGCUUGCUCUUCUGGAUGAGUUGCGAACGGGUGAGUAACGCGUAGGUAACCUGCCUCGUAGCGGGGGAGAACUAUUGGGAACGAUAGCUAAUACCGCAUAAGAGUAGAUGUUGCAUGACAUUUACUUGAAAGAUGCAGUUGUAUCACUACCAGAUGGACCUGCCGUGUCUUAACUGGUUGGUGGGGUAACGGCUUAACAAGGAGACGAUACAUAGCCGACCUGGGAGGGGGAUCGGCCAAACUGGGACUGGGACACGGCCCAGACUCCUUAGGGAGGCAGCAGGAGGGAAUCUUCGGCAAUUGACGGAAGUCUUAACGAGGAACGCCGCGGUAGUGAAGAAGGGUGUCGGGUCGGUAAGCUCUGUUUUAAGGGAAGAACGAGAGUUAGAGUUGAAAGUGCACACUGUGACGGUAUCUUACCAGAAAGCGACGGCUAACUACGUG
This 495-nucleotide ribosomal RNA is filed under the name uncultured bacterium. RNAcentral describes it as "partial 16S ribosomal RNA". It matches the Rfam family "Bacterial small subunit ribosomal RNA", at positions 28 to 507 of the family's 1533-position model. The record is from RNAcentral.